CACCCAGACUCCUACGGGAGGCAGCAGUGAGGAAUAUUGGUCAAUGGGCGAGAGCCUGAACCAGCCAAGUCGCGUGAGGGAAGACGGUCCUAUGGAUUGUAAACCUCUUUUGUCGGGGAGCAAAAAGGCCUCGUGAGGCCACAAGUGAGAGUACCCGAAGAAAAAGCAUCGGCUAACUCCGUGCCAGCAGCCGCGGUAAUACGGAGGAUGCGAGCGUUAUUCGGAUUUAUUGGGUUUAAAGGGUGCGUAGGCGGACUGGAAAGUCAGCGGUAAAAUCGAGAGGCUCAACCUCUUUCCGCCGUUGAAACUGUCGGUCUUGAGUGGGCGAGAAGUAUGCGGAAUGCGUGGCGUAGCGGUGAAAUGCAUAGAUAUCACGCAGAACUCCGAUUGCGAAGGCAGUUCACUGGACUGCAACUGACACUGAGGCUCGAAAGUGUGGGUAUCAAACAGGAUUAGAUACCCGAGUA
Molecule: ribosomal RNA, 467 nt
Filed under: uncultured bacterium
Lineage: Bacteria
Description: partial 16S ribosomal RNA
Rfam family: Bacterial small subunit ribosomal RNA
Source: RNAcentral